RNAcentral lists this transfer RNA (69 nucleotides) under Ictidomys tridecemlineatus (thirteen-lined ground squirrel). RNAcentral describes it as "Spermophilus tridecemlineatus (thirteen-lined ground squirrel) tRNA". It matches the Rfam family "tRNA". From Rfam's summary of the family: Transfer RNA (tRNA) molecules are approximately 80 nucleotides in length. Their secondary structure includes four short double-helical elements and three loops (D, anti-codon, and T loops). Further hydrogen bonds mediate the characteristic L-shaped molecular structure. tRNAs have two regions of fundamental functional importance: the anti-codon, which is responsible for specific mRNA codon recognition, and the 3' end, to which the tRNAs corresponding amino acid is attached (by aminoacyl-tRNA synthetases). tRNAs cope with the degeneracy of the genetic code in two manners: having more than one tRNA (with a specific anti-codon) for a particular amino acid; and 'wobble' base-pairing, i.e. permitting non-standard base-pairing at the 3rd anti-codon position. Lineage: Eukaryota; Metazoa; Chordata; Mammalia; Rodentia; Sciuridae. The record is from Rfam by way of RNAcentral.
GGGGUUGUGGCUCACUGGUAGAGCACUUGCCUGGCAUGUGUGAGGCACUGGGUUCGAUCCUCAGCACCA